Molecule: ribosomal RNA, 495 nt
Filed under: uncultured bacterium
Lineage: Bacteria
Description: bacterial SSU rRNA
Rfam family: Bacterial small subunit ribosomal RNA
Source: RNAcentral
CGCUGGCGGCGCGUUUUAAGCAUGCAAGUCGAGCGGCAAGGGCCUUCGGGCCCCUAGAGCGGCGGACGGGUGAGUAACACGUGGACAAUCUGCCCCCCGGCCCGGGAUAGGCCCAGGGAAACCUGGAUUAAUACCGGAUGAGACGGGACCCGCGAUGGCGGGACCCGGGAAAGGCGCUGCGGCGCCGCCGGGGGAUGAGUCUGCGUCCCAUUAGCUAGACGCGGGGUAACGGCCCACCGUGGCGACGAUGGGUAGCCGGCCUGAGAGGGUGGACGGCCACAUUGGAACUGAGACACGGUCCAGACUCCUACGGGAGGCAGCAGCUAAGAAUCUUCCGCAAUGGGCGAAAGCCUGACGGAAGCGACGCCGCGUGAACGAAGAAGGCCGUGAGGUUGUAAAAUUCUUUUCGGGAGGGGGAACAACCGUGGCAGGGAAUGGCCGCGGGAUGACGUGAAUCCCGGAAUAAGCCCCGGCUAACUACGUGCCAGCCGCCGC